RNAcentral lists this ribosomal RNA (465 nucleotides) under Vreelandella stevensii. RNAcentral describes it as "partial 16S ribosomal RNA". It matches the Rfam family "Bacterial small subunit ribosomal RNA", at positions 338 to 795 of the family's 1533-position model. The record is from RNAcentral. Lineage: Bacteria; Pseudomonadati; Pseudomonadota; Gammaproteobacteria; Oceanospirillales; Halomonadaceae.
CCUACGGGAGGCAGCAGUGGGGAAUAUUGGACAAUGGGCGAAAGCCUGAUCCAGCCAUGCCGCGUGUGUGAAGAAGGCCUUCGGGUUGUAAAGCACUUUCAGUGGGGAAGAAAGCCUUGGGGCUAAUACCCUCGAGGAAGGACAUCACCCACAGAAGAAGCACCGGCUAACUCCGUGCCAGCAGCCGCGGUAAUACGGAGGGUGCGAGCGUUAAUCGGAAUUACUGGGCGUAAAGCGCGCGUAGGCGGUCUGAUAAGCCGGUUGUGAAAGCCCCGGGCUCAACCUGGGAACGGCAUCCGGAACUGUCAGGCUAGAGUGCAGGAGAGGAAGGUAGAAUUCCCGGUGUAGCGGUGAAAUGCGUAGAGAUCGGGAGGAAUACCAGUGGCGAAGGCGGCCUUCUGGACUGACACUGACGCUGAGGUGCGAAAGCGUGGGUAGCAAACAGGAUUAGAUACCGUUGUAGUC